RNAcentral lists this long non-coding RNA (658 nucleotides) under Callithrix jacchus (white-tufted-ear marmoset). Its description in RNAcentral is "lncRNA (ENSCJAG00000067501.2)". Lineage: Eukaryota; Metazoa; Chordata; Mammalia; Primates; Cebidae. The record is from RNAcentral.
CUCAUUACAUUUACCAGUAAUCUUUUUUUUUUUUUUACCUUUACCAGUAGUCUUAUGGAUUUAAAUUACCAGCUGGGGUCACUUGCUUUCAGCUUGAAGAACUUUCUUUAGUAUUUCUUUUAAGACACCACCUUCUCAAGCUCAUCAAUAAAAACCUUCACCGCAGGACUGGCAACCUGUUUCUCUGGGACCCCUCUCUGCUGGAGAUAGCUCUUCUCUUUCUUUCACCUCUUAAACUUUCACUGCUGAUCUCACUCUCCGAUACAACGAUAUCCUCAUUAGAAAAAGACACACAGACAAAGGGAUGACCAUUUAAGACACAAUGAGAAGGCAACCCACUGCAAGCCAUGGAAGAAAGCAAACCUGCUGACACUUUGAUCUUGAGCUUGAAUCCUCCAGAAUGGUGAGAAAAUAAAUUUCUGUUGUCUCAGCCACCCACUCUGUGAUAAUUUAUAUGGCAAGGUUCGCAAACAAAUAGUUACUAAGAUGACAGUUUGUAUAAGGAAAUUCAGCUCAAAAAUAAUAGAAGACUCCCAUAAGGACAACUGUCACCAAGUUGAAGGUGUAUGUAGUUAAUUCUAAAUGUCAUCUUGACUGGGCCAAUGGGGCCCAGCUUAAAUAUUAUUUCUAGGUAUCUUUCUGAGGGUGUUUCUAGAUG